Molecule: ribosomal RNA, 857 nt
Filed under: Corollospora angusta
Lineage: Eukaryota; Fungi; Ascomycota; Sordariomycetes; Microascales; Halosphaeriaceae
Description: eukaryotic LSU rRNA
Rfam family: Eukaryotic large subunit ribosomal RNA
Source: RNAcentral
AUUGCCCCAGUAACGGCGAGUGAAGCGGCAACAGCUCAAAUUUGAAAUCUGGCUCCUAGCGGGUCCGAGUUGUAAUUUGCAGAGGAUGCUUUUGGCGCGGUGCCUUCCGAGUUCCCUGGAACGGGACGCCGGAGAGGGUGAGAGCCCCGUACGGUUGGCCGCCUAGCCUGUGUAAAGCUCCUUCGACGAGUCGAGUAGUUUGGGAAUGCUGCUCUAAACGGGAGGUACACCCCUUCUAAAGCUAAAUACCGGCCAGAGACCGAUAGCGCACAAGUAGAGUGAUCGAAAGAUGAAAAGCACUUUGAAAAGAGAGUCAAACAGCACGUGAAAUUGUUGAAAGGGAAGCGCUUGUGGCCAGACCUGUCCCGGCAGCUCAGCCGUCCCUCGUGGGCGGUGCACUCUGCCGGGUGCAGGCCAGCAUCAGCUCGUGGCGGGGGAGAAAGGCAGCGGGAACGUGGCUCUUCGGAGUGUUAUAGCCCGCCGCUACGCCCCACCGCGGGCUGAGGUUCGCGCUCCGCAAGGAUGCUGGCGUAAUGGCCAUCAGCGACCCGUCUUGAAACACGGACCAAGGAGCGGUCCUAACAUGCGAGUGUUCGGGUGCAAAACCCCUACGCGGAAUGAAAGUGAACGGAGGUGAGAGCUUCGGCGCAUCAUCGACCGAUCCUGAUGUUUUCGGAUGGAUUUGAGUAAGAGCAUGUUGGGACCAGCCCGAAAGAAGAUGAUCUAUGCUUGGAUAGGGCAAAGCCAGAGGAAACUCUGGUGGAGGCUCGCAGCGGUUCUGACGUGCAAAUCGAUCGUCAAAUCUGAGCAUGGGGGCGAAAGACUAAUCGAAUCUUCUAGUAGCUGGUUUGCGCCGA